Molecule: ribosomal RNA, 330 nt
Filed under: uncultured eukaryote
Lineage: Eukaryota
Description: partial 18S ribosomal RNA
Rfam family: Eukaryotic small subunit ribosomal RNA
Source: RNAcentral
CCCUUAGAUGUUCUGGGCUGCACGCGCGCUACACUGAUGCACUCAACGAGUUUACACCCUUGCCUGGAAAGGUUGGGUAAUCUUUUGAAAGUGCAUCGUGAUUGGGAUAGAUGAUUGCAAUUCUUCAUCUUCAACGAGGAAUGCCUAGUAAACGCAAGUCAUCAGCUUGCAUUGAUUACGUCCCUGCCCUUUGUACACACCGCCCGUCGCUCCUACCGAUUGAAUGAUCCGAUGAAUACCAUGGAUUGAGAGUACGAAUAGGUUCGCUUAUUUCUGCUGCUCGAGAAGUGGAGUAAAUCUUAUCAUUUAGAGGAAGGAGAAGUCGUAACA